This is a long non-coding RNA of Pseudomyrmex gracilis, 252 nucleotides long. RefSeq lists it as uncharacterized. The transcript is spliced from 3 exons. The record is from RefSeq and is a predicted model, not a curated record. Lineage: Eukaryota; Metazoa; Arthropoda; Insecta; Hymenoptera; Formicidae.
AGAUCAUCCGAAAUUUGUGAUUGCUGCGUUUAAUCGAGCAUUUUUUCAAUCUAUGCCACGUGAUAAAUAUUCUAACAAGGAAGUAAUAUGUAAAAAGAAACCUGAACCUGACAAUAAAAUGAGUAUAGAAAAUCCGGAAGUUUGCAGUAUUUCAGAUACUAAAUUGUAAUUUCUAUAUGGAAUUAUAGAAGUGGAUGCCGAAAGUUUGUUUGCAGAAGCUGUAUCUAUUACUUGUAGCAGAUAUCACUCACA